UCCGCGUCGGCGCCGCGGCGUGGCUCAGGAUCCCGAGCCCACGGAGGGAGGAGGAGGGCACAGACGCCGGCGGCCCGCGGCCCGCGCAGAGCCACACCUGGAAUUGUACAUGCUUUAUCUGGGACCCUGAUCCUAGGUUGGGCUGAAUUUUGGAGCUUCGGUGCAUGCACUCCUCCCCAGCCCCCCAGCUCUGGCUCAGACUCACGUUGCGGGCUGCGUCCCGGUCCGCUCCGCGCAGCAGCAUCACCCUCACCACCUCGCUGUGGCCCAUCUGCGACGCGAUCCACAGCGGCGCCGUCCCGUCCUGCCGGCGAGGGGACACGCUUGCUCCCACCGGGCCACCCGGCAGCCGCCGAGCAACAAGGAAAACGAAGAGACACCAGAAAGUCCUCUCUUCUUCCAUGUGAGGAUCCAGUGAGAAUGUGGCAGUUUGCAAGCCAGGAAGAGAGCUCUCACCAGACAAUUAAUUUGCUGGCAUUGUGAUCUUAGACUUCUCAGCCUCCAGAACUGUGAGAAAUUAAAUACCUGCUGUUUAAGCUGCGUAGUCUUUAGUAUUUUGUUAUGGCAGCUCAAGCUAACACAUACCACAUUUUGUUUAUUAUCAAUGAUAAAUGAUGGACAUUUGGGUUAUUUCCAAUUUUUGGCUAUUAUGAAUAACAAAAUGAACAUCUGUGUACAAGUUUUUGUGUAAACAUGCAUUUUCGUUUCAUUUCUUUUGUGUAUGUAUGUAGGAGUGGAAUUGCUGGGUCACGUGGUAACUCUUUCAAAGAACGCCCAGACUGUUUCCUAAUACGACUGCAUUAUUUUACAUUCCUACCAGCAAGGCAUGAAGAUUUGAAUUUCUCCAUCUCCUU
Molecule: long non-coding RNA, 854 nt
Organism: Canis lupus familiaris (dog)
Lineage: Eukaryota; Metazoa; Chordata; Mammalia; Carnivora; Canidae
Exons: 4
Source: RefSeq, a predicted model, not a curated record